This 472-nucleotide ribosomal RNA is filed under the name uncultured bacterium. RNAcentral describes it as "partial 16S ribosomal RNA". It matches the Rfam family "Bacterial small subunit ribosomal RNA", at positions 28 to 507 of the family's 1533-position model. The record is from RNAcentral.
GACGAACGCUGGCGGCGUGCUUAACACAUGCAAGUCGAACGCUGAAGCUUGGUGCUUGCACUGGGUGGAUGAGUGGCGAACGGGUGAGUAAUACGUGAGUAACCUGCCCUUGACUCUGGGAUAAGCCUGGGAAACUGGGUCUAAUACUGGAUACGACAUGUCACCGCAUGGUGGUGUGUGGAAAGGGUUUUACUGGUUUUGGAUGGGCUCACGGCCUAUCAGCUUGUUGGUGGGGUAAUGGCUCACCAAGGCGACGACGGGUAGCCGGCCUGAGAGGGUGACCGGCCACACUGGGACUGAGACACGGCCCAGACUCCUACGGGAGGCAGCAGUGGGGAAUAUUGCACAAUGGGCGGAAGCCUGAUGCAGCGACGCCGCGUGAGGGAUGACGGCCUUCGGGUUGUAAACCUCUUUCAGCACGGAAGAAGCGAAAGUGACGGUACGUGCAGAAGAAGCGCCGGAUAACUACGUG